Molecule: long non-coding RNA, 740 nt
Organism: Protopterus annectens (West African lungfish)
Lineage: Eukaryota; Metazoa; Chordata; Ceratodontiformes; Protopteridae
Exons: 2
Source: RefSeq, a predicted model, not a curated record
AGAUUGUUCCUGAGCGUUUCAGUGAUUGUAGAUUGAAGCGGAAAGGAUUAGUAAAAACUGUGCAGGAAUAUCUUACAAAGUGUGAUGCACUUGAAAACAGACUCAAUCAAGAAGUAGAGAAAACAAAGUCGAAGAAUUUAGCAUUAUCAAAAUGACUCACCAUGAUAUUCCAGAACUUUUUUGGGAGAGUGCUCCCCAAGUGAAGUGGAGUGUGUCUUUAAUUAGCAUGCUUUUAGUAGCACAUACGUCAUGUGAAGGAGGGAACUGUUAAAUAUUUUGUUUAAUGCAGACUGCAAGAACUAUAUUUUUUAUGGCACUAAAACUUUUUCCUUUAUAACACAUUUCAGCAUAUUUUACAUUAAUUUGAUGCAUACAUGCACCUGUAUAUUUGUGAAGUAUUAAAAUGCAGUAUAGUUACGUUCUGUAGUACUUCAUUUUACAUAUGUAUUUAUUUUAUUUUGUCCUGUUGUUCCUUAGGGCUGAUGACUGUAUAUACAUCGGCAAUGUUUUUUUUUCCCUACCAUAUGUACUUCCUUCACUUCCAGUCCUCUGUCUGCAUGUAGACUGACCAGUAUGGGGGUGUGCUUGCCAAGAUAACUGUUCAUGGGUCACCAUUUUGAUUAUUUAAAGAAAUAAUUGCAGUAAAUUUAUAAAACCCGUAUUUCUACUGCUUACCUAAAUCAUUUGUGGGCAGAUUUAUAUAGGACUUAAUAAACAAUGUAUGUGAGUACGUUUUAACA